Transfer RNA from Ovis aries (sheep), 73 nucleotides. It matches the Rfam family "tRNA". Rfam says of the family: Transfer RNA (tRNA) molecules are approximately 80 nucleotides in length. Their secondary structure includes four short double-helical elements and three loops (D, anti-codon, and T loops). The record is from Rfam. Lineage: Eukaryota; Metazoa; Chordata; Mammalia; Artiodactyla; Bovidae.
UCCGUGGUGGUCCAGUGGUGAAGACUCCGUGCUUCCAAUGCAGAGGGCCUGGGUUCGAUCCCUGGUCAGGGAA